CAGUAGCCGCGGUAAUACGGAGGGGGCUAGCGUUGUUCGGAAUCACUGGGCGUAAAGCGCACGUAGGCGGCUUUGCAAGUCAGAGGUGAAAGCCCGGGGCUCAACCCCGGAAUAGCCUUUGAGACUGCAUCGCGUGAACGUCAGAGAGGUGAGUGGAAUUCCGAGUGUAGAGGUGAAAUUCGUAGAUAUUCGGAAGAACACCAGUGGCGAAGGCGGCUCACUGGACGACUGUUGACGCUGAGGUGCGAAAGCGUGGGGAGCAAACAGGAUUAGAUACCCCGGUAGUCCCUGUCUCUUAUAC
RNAcentral lists this ribosomal RNA (301 nucleotides) under uncultured bacterium. RNAcentral's name for it is "partial 16S ribosomal RNA". It matches the Rfam family "Bacterial small subunit ribosomal RNA", at positions 509 to 807 of the family's 1533-position model. The record is from RNAcentral.